GUCCAAAUGAAAUCUAAAAUAAACUGUUGCUGUGCAGUUUUUCUAAGUAAUUAAUUGGUUGCUAUGCACUUUUUCAAUAAAAAUGGAUGGUUGCUAUGCAUUCUCCUAAUAUAAAAAAAAAUGGUUGCUAGGCAGUUUUACACUUUAAAUGUAUGAUUGUUAACAACUAAUGUGAUGACACCCUCUAGACCUUUGAAGUUAGGUCUGUGUAAUACAUGUUGUUUAUAUAGUCCUGAAUGAAAUCAUGUAUGGUACAUUUUUUUAUCAAAUAAGAGUGGUUGCUAAGCACUUUUGACAUGACCUUGACUCUUCAUUUUUCAUAUGCUGAUAAAAAGUGGCUUAAAACAUCCUGAUAAUUUUCUCCAUGUAUAGUAGCCUCUUUCUAUUAUAUUUCCUUUCAAAAUUCAAUUAAUAUACACAAGGUCAAAGGUCAAGGUCAUCAAUGACCUUUGACUUUUGGACAAAUUUAUGGUAAUUUAAUUGCCAAUAGUUUGCACAUCAUAGUCAUUCAAUAAUAAUUACUUUUUGUGGAUUAUUUUAAUAAAAUGGCUACAUUUUAGAGGUAAAAAGGCAAAAAUGACACAUUUUUGUUUCCAUAGCAACCAUCCUAGAACCUAAUUUCCCAAAC
Molecule: long non-coding RNA, 628 nt
Filed under: Mytilus galloprovincialis (Mediterranean mussel)
Lineage: Eukaryota; Metazoa; Mollusca; Bivalvia; Mytilida; Mytilidae
Source: RNAcentral